This 237-nucleotide long non-coding RNA is filed under the name Elaeis guineensis (African oil palm). RNAcentral describes it as "long non-coding RNA (EGUI_LNC021619)". The record is from RNAcentral. Lineage: Eukaryota; Viridiplantae; Streptophyta; Magnoliopsida; Arecales; Arecaceae.
CCGCCAUAUUUUUGUUAUGCAACUUCAAUUAACAUUCUCUGAAAUUUCUUAAUGAUUCUAGAUUAAUUUUUUUUAUAAAAUCCAAGUAAAAAUUUUGUUCUUACUUUCGAUGUACAUUGGAUCAUGAUUAAUUCUUGAGAAAAUUGCAUAUUGCCAUGCCAAUUCUGGACUACCUUGACAAUUUAGUUAGACAAUUCGAGAUUGAUCACUCUUUUAAGAACAUUAACUCAAUGCACC